RNAcentral lists this small nuclear RNA (103 nucleotides) under Octopus vulgaris (common octopus). Lineage: Eukaryota; Metazoa; Mollusca; Cephalopoda; Octopoda; Octopodidae. The record is from RNAcentral. RNAcentral also lists the same sequence under 1 other name.
GCGCUUCGGCAGUACAUAUGCUAAAAUUGGAACGCUACAGAGAAGUUUAGCAUGGCGCCUGCGCAAGGAUGACACGCAAAUUCAUGAAGCGUUCCAUAUUUUU